CCUACGGGUGGCUGCAGUGGGGAAUAUUGGACAAUGGGCGAAAGCCUGAUCCAGCCAUGCCGCGUGUGUGAAGAAGGCCUUCGGGUUGUAAAGCACUUUCAGUGGGGAAGAAAGCCUUGGGGCUAAUACCCUCGAGGAAGGACAUCACCCACAGAAGAAGCACCGGCUAACUCCGUGCCAGCAGCCGCGGUAAUACGGAGGGUGCGAGCGUUAAUCGGAAUUACUGGGCGUAAAGCGCGCGUAGGCGGUCUGAUAAGCCGGUUGUGAAAGCCCCGGGCUCAACCUGGGAACGGCAUCCGGAACUGUCAGGCUAGAGUGCAGGAGAGGAAGGUAGAAUUCCCGGUGUAGCGGUGAAAUGCGUAGAGAUCGGGAGGAAUACCAGUGGCGAAGGCGGCCUUCUGGACUGACACUGACGCUGAGGUGUGAAAGCGUGGGUAGCAAACAGGAUUAGAUACCCCAGUAGUC
Molecule: ribosomal RNA, 465 nt
Filed under: Vreelandella stevensii
Lineage: Bacteria; Pseudomonadati; Pseudomonadota; Gammaproteobacteria; Oceanospirillales; Halomonadaceae
Description: partial 16S ribosomal RNA
Rfam family: Bacterial small subunit ribosomal RNA
Source: RNAcentral